Molecule: long non-coding RNA, 2348 nt
Organism: Ictidomys tridecemlineatus (thirteen-lined ground squirrel)
Lineage: Eukaryota; Metazoa; Chordata; Mammalia; Rodentia; Sciuridae
Source: RefSeq, a predicted model, not a curated record
CUGGCUUUGAACUCAUGAUCCGCCUGCCUCUACCUCUCAAGCUGCUGGGAUUAUAGGCAUGUGCCUCCGUGCCUGGCCUAUGUUAUUAUUUUUUGAAUAGCCUUUGAAGCACUUUUUGGUAAAAUCUUAUGUCUUCAUUUUUCUUGUUCUUUGUUAACAACAAUUGUUACUAAUAAAGUGGGUAUAAAAGCAUGCUGUAAUAAAAUUGCUACUUUUGCACUUUAGAGCAGUUAUUAAAAAAAAUACAGAUUACUUGAACACAAGGCAGUACUGUCACAGUCUACCUGAUAAUUGAGGCGAUUACUACAUUGUUGGUGAAUGAUGAAUAUAGAGAAUCUGUGCACUAGAAGUAACUAGAGGUCAGAUGUUCUGGUGACAAGAGGGAAGGCCUAGUUCACCUGGUGUGGAAGCUUGUCUCUAACCCCUACUAAAACGUAUGGCCUCAAGGGAGUCAUUGAACCCUCUAUCUUCUUGUUUUGAAAACUAAGAAAGUGGUGGGAAAUCUUGGAAGGUGAUUUUGAGGAUAAAGAUAAGAUAUAGAAAAUAUUUGCCACAUUGUAAAUACUUGAUAAUAGUAGCUAUUAUUUCCCCCUCUCAACUUGUUUCAUUUUUUAUUCUUUUCUUUUUCAUUUCCCUUCCUCCUCUGUCUAUCCUUUAUUGCUUGCUAAUAGCCUAAUCUAAGGCAGGUGGUAUAUACCAAGGAGAUCUUGGUGAUGGCCCAGAGAGUUGACUGAAUGAUCCUGGCAUUACUUAUUAGGUAAAGCAUAAGAUCAAUGAAGCAAGUUGUUAGAAUCAGAAAGGGUGAAUCAUGAUGGAGUUGAAAUAAGGAAAAGGACAGAAAGCAAAACAAAUGAACAGAAGUGUGUCCCUGAGAGAGAGAAGGUGGCUACAUAUAGGGAGCGAGGUGAAGAGGCAGCACCUGCCCACAUUGGGAAACUCUAGAGACAUCAGCUCCAUAUUCCUUGGAUAGCUGAUACUUUCUAGAGUUCCUUGACUCAGUGAGACAUGUCUAAUUGCAAAAAAGAUAAGAUUAAUGAGGGAACUGUUAGAAGAUUUUGCUCAUGUGGAAUAACAGAAUUUAAGUGGCUGAGACGAGUUAGAAAAUGGUGGACUGGGUUUCUUCAUUGUUAGUGAACCUAUGAGUUAAUAGAGCUGGUGUGCGGAGAUGAGUUGACUUGCUGCAGUGGGCAGAUGGGUGCAGAGUCAUUAUGGUGUCUGAGCUGAUGAAUCACUUGGUGAAAGCAGUGUUAAGGACAUUAAUCACAUAGUAAUGUGUGGGACAAUUUGAAAGGACAAAAUGGAAGGCUGGAAGAUCAUUGAAGAGGCCGUUUUGGGAACCCAGGUGCAAGGAUGAAACGGGGAGGGGCAAAUCAAGAGAGAUGCCUGUGAUGGGCCCACCAGCAUCCAAGUGGGGAAGCAGGGAGAGGACUCCGGGAUGAGCCUGGAGGCUUGGUGACUCCCUCAGAAUACCUGGAAGAGUGCCCAAGCAGAAUGACUGUGCACCUUGUUUGUACAAGUAAUGACACCAUCUGCCUGGCACAACCAUAAGGCACAAACUGACGAAUGAAUUAACCAUGCUAAUAAGAGUAACCACCUGUGGACUGAUGGAAUUAAUCGGAAGCACAUGGGUGUGCAGGUGUAUCAAAUUCAUCUCAGAAAAACCAGACCACUGAAUGAUGCAGCCCACGCACCUGAGGCCCGUAAAAGGAGGGGCACCCUCAGACUGGACAUGGUGGCACCCUGAUCCCAUCACCUGGUCACUGGUUGUGAGCUUUACCCAGGAAAAUUGCCACAGUGAUGAACUUCUGAUUUCCUGUCCUGUUGGGCUUCAGCAGAACAUGGUUCCUUCUGCCUGUGACGACCCUGUAUGGCCCACUCCAAGCUGACAUCUCAAGCUGACAUUCUGGAACUGCCAUCCAUCUGGACCUUGGCCUAGAAUAAGUUCUUGCGUGUUGAACAAGCUCUUGAUUGGUUCCUAAUCUUAUUUGAUCACCUACAGGGACCUUGCGUUAGAAUCUGCCCUCUGCCUUCCCUCUCAGUUCUGAAUCCCUGUGGCUGUCUUAACCCUUUUUUAGUCUUUCUGUGACACACACACACACACACACACACACAGUGUGAUGUGUGACUUGAGUGUAAAACUAUUAGAAAUUAAGAUUGGAACUUGCAUUUGCCCAACUUUUGAUACCAGAUAACCCAUGAAUAUUCAGUAAACUGCCACUUAUGAAAAUGGGAGAGCACGUGAAUUUACUGUCAUUGUUGAAUUCUGACAUUGUGGAAAGACCCAGACAUGCUUGGUCUAUGCUAGUGAUAGCAUGCUCCCAACAGGCUAAAUAAAUAAAUAUAAUUAA